This 406-nucleotide ribosomal RNA is filed under the name uncultured bacterium. RNAcentral describes it as "partial 16S ribosomal RNA". It matches the Rfam family "Bacterial small subunit ribosomal RNA", at positions 30 to 526 of the family's 1533-position model. The record is from RNAcentral.
AUUGAACGCUGGCGGCCGGCCUAACACAUGCAAGUCGAACGAGUGGCGGACGGGUGAGUAAUGUCUGUGACACUGCCCGAUGGAUGGGGAUAACUACUGGAAACGGUAGCUAAUACCGCAUACCAUCGGAUGGUCCCAGAUGGGAUUAGCUAGUAGGUGGGGUAAAGGCUCACCUAGGCGACGAUCCCUAGCUGGUCUGAGAGGAUGACCAGCCACACUGGAACUGAGACACGGUCCAGACUCCUACGGGAGGCAGCAGUGGGGAAUAUUGCACAAUGGGCGCAAGCCUGAUGCAGCCAUGCCGCGUGUAUGAAGAAGGCCUUCGGGUUGUAAAGUACUUUCAGCGGGGAGGCGUUACCCGCAGAAGAAGCACCGGCUAACUCCGUGCCAGCAGCCGCGGUAAUAC